Molecule: ribosomal RNA, 801 nt
Filed under: uncultured Flexibacteraceae bacterium
Lineage: Bacteria; Pseudomonadati; Bacteroidota; Cytophagia; Cytophagales; Cytophagaceae
Description: bacterial SSU rRNA
Rfam family: Bacterial small subunit ribosomal RNA
Source: RNAcentral
CAGCAGGUCUGUAGCAAUACAGAUGCUGGCGACCGGCAAACGGGUGCGGAACACGUACGCAACCUUCCUUUAAGUGGGGGAUAGCCCGGGGAAACCCGGAUUAAUACCCCGUAAAAUUGUGGUGUGGCAUCACACUAUAAUUAAAGCUCCGGCGCUUAAAGAUGGGCGUGCGACUGAUUAGGUAGUUGGCGGGGUAACGGCCCACCAAGCCUACGAUCAGUAACUGGUGAGAGCACGACCAGUCACACGGGCACUGAGACACGGGCCCGACUCCUACGGGAGGCAGCAGUAAGGAAUAUUGGUCAAUGGACGCAAGUCUGAACCAGCCAUGCCGCGUGGAGGAUGAAGGUCCUCUGGAUUGUAAACUUCUUUUAUCUGAGAAGAAACCCACUGAUUCUUCGGUGGUUGACGGUACCAGAUGAAUAAGCACCGGCUAACUCCGUGCCAGCAGCCGCGGUAAUACGGAGGGUGCAAGCGUUAUCCGGAUUCACUGGGUUUAAAGGGUGCGUAGGUGGGUUGGUAAGUCCGUGGUGAAAUCUCCGAGCUUAACUCGGAAACUGCCGUGGAUACUAUCAAUCUUGAAUACUGUGGAGGUAAGCGGAAUAUGUCAUGUAGCGGUGAAAUGCUUAGAUAUGACAUAGAACACCGAUAGCGGAGGCAGCUUGCUACACAGUCAUUGACACUGAGGCACGAAAGCGUGGGGAUCAAACAGGAUUAGAUACCCUGGUAGUCCACGCCCUAAACGAUGGAUACUCGACAUACGCGAUACACUGUGUGUGUCUGAGCGAAAGCAUUAAGUAU